GCCGGGGUAGCUCAGCUAGGUAGAGCGCCGGGCUGUUAACCCGGUGGUCGGAGGUUCGAGUCCUCCCCCCGGCGCCA
Molecule: transfer RNA, 77 nt
Filed under: Desulfurococcaceae archaeon
Lineage: Archaea; Thermoproteati; Thermoproteota; Thermoprotei; Desulfurococcales; Desulfurococcaceae
Description: tRNA-Asn
Rfam family: tRNA
About the family: Transfer RNA (tRNA) molecules are approximately 80 nucleotides in length. Their secondary structure includes four short double-helical elements and three loops (D, anti-codon, and T loops).
Source: RNAcentral